UCUCUAUAGGACUAGUGGUUAGGCCACAGUGCUCUCACCAAUGUGGCCCGGGUUUGAUUCCCCACCAGGGAA
Pangasius djambal is the source of this 72-nucleotide non-coding RNA. Lineage: Eukaryota; Metazoa; Chordata; Actinopteri; Siluriformes; Pangasiidae. The record is from the annotation of a GenBank genome assembly.